Molecule: long non-coding RNA, 1558 nt
Organism: Leopardus geoffroyi (Geoffroy's cat)
Lineage: Eukaryota; Metazoa; Chordata; Mammalia; Carnivora; Felidae
Exons: 2
Source: RefSeq, a predicted model, not a curated record
CCUCUCCCCACAGCCCCUGUGCGCUGUGUCUGCACAGUUCUGCUCUCCGGCCUAGGCCGCCUGGCCUCCUUUCUCUAACCGCUUCUGGGCUGGAAGGGGUGUUGGUGGGGUGGCACUAACCAUCAGGCCUGCGGCCUCCUGAGCCAGCCGGAGGCCCCAGGUCACUGAAGAGGGUCCUGGGAGAGGCCACACCUGCCCUGCGCCUUUCUCCGAGGUGCUUCAGAACAAUUUCCAACUUCACGCUGGGCUCUCAGUGGGGAGGGGCGUGAGGACGAACUGGGCAAGGCCUGUGGAAGCCCCCCUAGUCAACCUCAACACCCCUUCCUCUGGGAAGCUCUCUGGAUGCAUGCUGCCCUUGGACACAAAGGGGAAGCUGCAGUCCACAAUUUUCAACUGCCCUUGGGCCACACCCAUCUGGAACGGAGUGGAGGGGCUCUGAGCUCCUACUGGAGCCUGUUCACGAGUCGUGUUGCCACAGGCAGGUGGGCCUGGGGGCACAGCGAACCCCACAGGGGGCUCCUGUGGGCCUGGGCUUGGGCUAAGCAGGACACUACAGCCCAAGAUGGUGUUGGGUAGUGAGGAGGGAGCUAGAAGCCCUGGGACCCAGCAGUGUCCAUGCCAAGAGGUGGCAGUGGCAGGUUCUGGCCAGAUCCAGUGGCUUCUGAGGCUUGAAGCACGGGCUCAGGGGCACUAAUGCCCCAGGGCAGGCCUGGAUCCCUGGCAUAGCAGCAUAGACUCAGCUGCUUCUGUCAGUCCCCUUGGGGCCACCAUCUCCCCACAUAAAGACUGGGCAUGGCGUGUCCUGGCAAGGCUAGGACAGGUCAGUGGGCCCAAAGCAGAGCACCCCACACCACCGUGAGAGUCUCCCUGGGUUGGCCGUAGGCCCUGCACAUCCUCCCAGGCACUCAGCAGACAGCCCUCAGUCCCGGCCUGGGGAGCUCUGUCCACGGCAGUACAGGGUGCAGAGGGGCUCUUGGGACUCUGGGCAUACAUGGCCACAGCCCUGGUCCUCCCUGUGAUACCCGCAGCUGCAGCUGCUGAGCUGUGCACCAGACCCCAAGGUCAGCCCUUUAUGGGCACCUGUGAGGUAGGUGUCCCUGUCUCAUCCUACAGAGGAAGAAACUAAGGCCCAGAAAGGCUGCCUUCUGACCAGGGUUACCAACUGAGAGGUGGCAGCCCCAGGAUCUUCAGAUCACGGUCUGUUGGAGAGGCCCUGAGACAGGAGGCAUUCGCUAGGCCCUACCCAGUUUGCUGCCUGCUACAAAGUGCUCUCUGGGCUCCUGGUGGCCAGUGUAAAGCCCAAGGCCCCCUUUGCCUCCCAGGUUCCUGACAGCCUGCCCAGAAAGGCCAGGUCGGCCUGUGGCAGAAGGUUCUAGGUGCUGUGUCCUGAGCUGGCCUGUCAGAGGCAGCAGCUAGGAUUCUCUGCCAGGGAUCUGUGGAUCCCCCCUGGGACCAUAGGGAAACAGAUUCUCCAGGGAGAAUAAGAAAUGUUUGUUUUCACUUUACUCUAAAAGAGAAUCCCCUUACCACUUACAAUAAUAAAACUAUCUUGGGAUAA